UGGGGAAUAUUGCACAAUGGGCGCAAGCCUGAUGCAGCCAUGCCGCGUGUAUGAAGAAGGCCUUCGGGUUGUAAAGUACUUUCAGCGAGGAGGAAGGCAUAAAGGUUAAUAACCUUUGUGAUUGACGUUACUCGCAGAAGAAGCACCGGCUAACUCCGUGCCAGCAGCCGCGGUAAUACGGAGGGUGCGAGCGUUAAUCGGAAUUACUGGGCGUAAAGCGCACGCAGGCGGUCUGUUAAGUCAGAUGUGAAAUCCCCGGGCUCAACCUGGGAACUGCAUUUGAAACUGGCAGGCUUGAGUCUUGUAGAGGGGGGUAGAAUUCCAGGUGUAGCGGUGAAAUGCGUAGAGAUCUGGAGGAAUACCGGUGGCGAAGGCGGCCCCCUGGACAAAGACUGACGCUCAGGUGCGAAAGCGUGGGGAGCAAACAGGAUUAGAUACCCUGGUAGUCCACGCCGUAAACGAUGUCGACUUGGAGGUUGUGCCCUUGAGGCGUGGCUUCCGGAGCUAACGCGUUAAGUCGACCGCCUGGGGAGUACGGCCGCAAGGUUAAAACUCAAAUGAAUUGGCGGGGGCCCGCACAAGCGGUGGAGCAUGUGGUUUAAUUCGAUGC
Molecule: ribosomal RNA, 610 nt
Filed under: uncultured Klebsiella sp.
Lineage: Bacteria; Pseudomonadati; Pseudomonadota; Gammaproteobacteria; Enterobacterales; Enterobacteriaceae
Description: bacterial SSU rRNA
Rfam family: Bacterial small subunit ribosomal RNA
Source: RNAcentral